This is a long non-coding RNA of Cavia porcellus (domestic guinea pig), 2210 nucleotides long. RefSeq lists it as uncharacterized. The transcript has 2 exons. The record is from RefSeq and is a predicted model, not a curated record. NCBI's taxonomy places the organism in Eukaryota, Metazoa, Chordata, Mammalia, Rodentia, Caviidae.
UAAUAUGUUACUUUUGCAAUCAGAAGAAGAAUAACUUGAGUUUGUUUUGGUCCAGCCACACUUCCACACUACUUUGUGGUGGGAGAGAACUGGACACACUUUGGAAGGAAACUUAGACACUCCUGUGAAAACUGAAGACUCCGCUCUCCUGUUACCAGGGACUUCACCUAUGGGUGCGGAUUCGACAGUGUGUGAGAAACGUACAUAACUGCAAUGCCUGUCCUAUGCACAGGUGAAAAUACGGGACACCCUCAGUUACAGAAGAGGCUCACUGCUGUGUCUCCGCUGCCACAAUACACAGAGCUGUGGGACGCAGUGCCCAGAGCUGCACCAGCCUGCACGGAUAAACCUCAGACCUGGAACAUUAAGCACAACGAAUGGAAAACAAAUGUGAAAAAGGACCCUAAAUUUAGGAUACCAAUGAGCUCUAUGGAAAACAAAGGGGGAGAUCAGACCAAGAUUGGGCAGUUCCACGGCAGGCAAGUAUAUGUGAAAUGUUUUAUUUCUUUUAAAAAACUGUAACCAAAAAUGGUGGCAAAACUGUUACUAUUUGAGAAACAUUGGCAGUGGGUUAGGGCUAUAUAUAUCAGCAUCAUCAUCACUGUCACCAUCAUCACAGUAAACUAUAGCUAGUGUCGGACCUGGUGCCCCCACUUUGCCCCUUUGCCUGGAAUCUGUGACAGUGAUUACCACGGGCGGAAGCUGGUUCAGGGGUCUGGCCGAUGGCAGACUGCUCCCCAGCAAUGUUACCUGUUCUUGCCACUCAGGGUUUAAAUAACCCACAAGGCAGAAUCAAAGACUCUUGAAGUCUACAUACCUUUAGAUUGCUCUAUUCAUCUAAAUUAACAGCAAUAGUAAGGAACCCCAGAUCAAUUGUUUCCUGGCCUUGGGACUCUGUCAUUUAAAAGGAAUUCCCUUACUGGUUCACCUGUCAGGGGUCUCUGCUCAACCCUUGGGCUACAUGCUUUUAAAGUGAUGUCUAAAAUUGGUUGCUUUACUUAAAAUACUGUUCUUCAGAUGAUCUACUGGCUAGAAAUUGGCAUGGUCUAUCCCUACAGCAGCCUGAAUUCAAUACUAAUUUAUCUCAGGGGUUGAAGCUGGAGAUUGUCUGUAUCCAAAUCCUGGCUUUUAGAAUUUGCUUUGCUAUUUGGGUUCUAUAGCCAUAAAAUGCAGACUAAUUUAUAAAAUGAGUGUAAAACUCUCAAACCCCAGACUGUCACCAAAAAGCUUUCUGCAAUCAUUCCCCAUAACCCUAUUCGUAGCAUAAUCACUGUUGCAUGUCAUUCUGAACCUUCAGUUUUGGCCCUUAUAACCUGAAGCUCUUAGCCCAACACUUGAUACUAUUAGCAUUAAAAGCAGUUUGAUGAUUGCUAAUUACGCUGCUGCCUCGUCUACCAAAAAUGACGAACAGGAAAGAGAACAAACACUGACAGAUAUGAAAACUCUGGAUCCUCAGCCAAACUCUGCCAGGAGCUCUGUCUCUACAACACAAGUCUCUAAAAGAUGCUCAUCCUGUUUUCUAAGCUAGUUAUUGGUUUAAAAUUCUAUGAUUGCUCCUUGUACUGUGCCUUAUUCUCUCAAACAGUCACAAUCUCUGACCUGCUCCAUGACAGUGUCCGUGAAAUGUUUGAUUAAUGAAUGAAUAAAUGACUAGGUGGUCAGUGGCUCUUGGUCCAGUGAUGGGCAGGACAUUCUAGGUGUUGGGUAAAUCUUGAAAUAUUUAGGUUUUGUAAUGAAGGAAUCUCAUAUUUCCUACAUGGACUUAGCAUAACAGGACAUAUCAGUAAAGCCCAGUUAUAAUAUGUACUUUUUUUCCUUUUCUUUUUGAGUCAGGGUUUCACUAUGCAGUUAAGGCUGGCCUGGAGCUCACAGAGAUCCUUUUGCUUCAGCCUCCUGAGUUUAUGAUCACUGGAAUGCACCACCACGCCUGGUUUGUUUCUUUUUUUAAUGUGUAUUUACUUUCCAGAUUAUGAGACUUUGUGUUCUUUAGGAGAAGAGUACCAUUUGUAAUCUGAUGACUUUUCAUGGCUAGGAUUUAUUAGCCUAAAGAAUACUCCUUACAUCACUGCCUGAUAAUCUGAGGGCAUGGGUUUUAUUUCCCAAUCCUCUCUCUCUCAGAGAGAUGUUUUCAUUAAUGAGGAAAGUGUAGGCAGCUUAGCCUUUGUUCCUAGAUACUAUCAAUCAAAGAGAAAUAAAAAUAUUUUCCAUUA